AUUAAUAUGUAUUAUUAGACAUGCAAACUUUCAUUCGAAUGCAGCGACCGGGGGACGGUGGGAGCCCCGGCGACGAUGAACGCUUUGAAAUCACUAAUGAUUUAUAAAAAAUAUAACAACAAAGUGGACUCUAAGCAGUCAAGAAGGGUGGUACCGCGGUCAUUCGCCCCUUAA
Molecule: unclassified non-coding RNA, 174 nt
Filed under: Jeotgalicoccus saudimassiliensis
Lineage: Bacteria; Bacillati; Bacillota; Bacilli; Caryophanales; Staphylococcaceae
Description: T-box
Source: RNAcentral